GUAAGGAAUAUUGGACAAUGCCCGCAAGGGUGAUCCAGCCAUGCCGCGUGCAGGAAGACGGCCCUAUGGGUUGUAAACUGCUUUUACACCGGAGAAAACCCCGCUACGUGUAGCGGGCUGAUAGUAUGGUGAGAAUAAGCAUCGGCUAACUUCGUGCCAGCAGCCGCGGUAAGACGAAGGAUGCAAGCGUUAUCCGGAUUCAUUGGGUUUAAAGGGAGCGUAGGUGGCCUUAUAAGUCAGUGGUGAAAUCUUCGAGCUUAACUCGGAAAUUGCCAUUGAUACUGUAGGGCUUGAGUACAGUUGCUGUGGGCGGAAUAUGACAUGUAGUGGUGAAAUACAUAGAGAUGUCAUAGAACACCGAUUGCGAAGGCAGCUCACAAAGCUGUAACUGACACUGAGGCUCGAAAGUGCGGGGAUCAAACAGGAUUAGAUACCCUUGUAGUCC
This 445-nucleotide ribosomal RNA is filed under the name uncultured bacterium. RNAcentral describes it as "bacterial SSU rRNA". It matches the Rfam family "Bacterial small subunit ribosomal RNA", at positions 354 to 796 of the family's 1533-position model. The record is from RNAcentral.